AUACGUAGGGCGCGAGCGUUGUCCGGAUUUAUUGGGCGUAAAGAGCUCGUAGGCGGUUUGUCGCGUCUGCUGUGAAAUCCUCUGGCUUAACUGGGGGCGUGCAGUGGGUACGGGCAGACUGGAGUGCGGUAGGGGAGACUGGAAUUCCUGGUGUAGCGGUGGAAUGCGCAGAUAUCAGGAGGAACACCGGUGGCGAAGGCGGGUCUCUGGGCCGUUACUGACGCUGAGGAGCGAAAGCAUGGGGAGCGAACAGGAUUAGAUACCCUGGUAGUCCAUGCCGUAAACGUUGGGAACUAGGUGUGGGGUCCAUUCCACGGGUCCUGUGCCGUAGCUAACGCAUUAAGUUCCCCGCCUGGGGAGUACGGCCGCAAGGUUGAA
RNAcentral lists this ribosomal RNA (378 nucleotides) under uncultured bacterium. RNAcentral's name for it is "bacterial SSU rRNA". It matches the Rfam family "Bacterial small subunit ribosomal RNA", at positions 523 to 898 of the family's 1533-position model. The record is from RNAcentral.